RNAcentral lists this ribosomal RNA (459 nucleotides) under uncultured bacterium. RNAcentral describes it as "partial 16S ribosomal RNA". It matches the Rfam family "Bacterial small subunit ribosomal RNA", at positions 338 to 795 of the family's 1533-position model. The record is from RNAcentral.
GCUACGGGUGGCAGCAGUGAGGAAUAUUGGUCAAUGGCCGGAAGGCUGAACCAGCCAAGCCGCGUGAAGGACGAAGGUGCCAAGCAUUGGAAACUUCUUUUGUCAAGGGACAAAAUCAGGCUCGAGAGCCUGACCGAGGGUACUUGAAGAAAAAGCAUCGGCUAACUAAGUGCCAGCAGCCGCGGUAAUAAGGAGGAUGCGGGCGGUAACCGGAUUGAUUGGGUUUAAAGGGUGCGUCGGCGGACGGUUAAGGCAGCGGUAAAAGCGCGGGGCUCAACCCCGGCGAGCCGUUGAAACUGGCUGUCUUGAGAUGUCGAGAGGUAUGCGGAAUGCGCAGUGUAGCGGUGAAAUGCUUAGAUAUUGCGCAGAACUCCGAUUGCGAAGGCAGCAUACCGGCGGCGAUCUGACGCUGAGGCACGAAAGCGUGGGUAUCGAACAGGAUUAGAUACCCGUUUAGUC